ACGAUGUUUCAAUAUCAAUUGUACUGGAAAUCCAGUUCACAGUUCUCUCAAACAUGUAAAAUCAAAGCCUUUGAUCAUUUUCAGCUGUCAAUUUUGUCAGUUUCAGCUACUUUGACAUCCCUGUAAAAAUAAAUCGGCAGUUGUUGUGUGGUACAUUUCUGGUGAUGACUGACGAUAACUUUUCCACCAACAAAGCUCACUUUUUAAUUUUUCUACUAAAUUUAUUUCACGGAAAUGACGAAUAUUUAGUUUAUUUUUACUCGUCCGUGCCCUCCGUGGAUGCUAAGGGCUGUCACUAGGUGGCUAAAUAUGUCUGUGUGUUUAGGGAUUUAACUAUUCAGCUAUCUAGAGGAAAGUAGGGGCAGGGGUGGGGGUCAUCAAAUUUCGACAUUCAGAUAACACAUUCCAUUUCUAUUACGAUAUUUCUUUUUAUUCGAGACGCUGUCGGAGAAGGUUACCUUAGCCAUUGUCUCAUGGAGGGGCACUUUUGUUUAAGACUUCGUUUUUUAAUUGAGUUUUUAUAUUUCUAUCAACAGCCUGGUGAAGUCUGAGCUUCUUCAUUGAAAUACGUCCAUGUGUUCGCUGCCUUGAAGAGGGUCUAUUUUGCAAGACAAAUGAGAUGAAAAGAGGAAACUUGAAAAGGGUUCCUCGUUCAGUUAGAGCUGUUCAUGGCGUUGUCUGGUGUGCAGUGGUUUUGCAUUCAUUAAGUCGAGAGAUGCCCUGAGGUGGAUGAUCAACUGCUGAGACUUUUCUCGCAUUGUCUUUUUCAAUGGCGAUGCUGUCCAAGAAGGUUUAGCUUGGCCAUUGCAGGCAACUUUCUCUGUUGACAAUGUUCAUCUUAAAAAUGGGACAAAGCACCUGAUGCUAGCAACAUCGCAAUCUUGUUCCACUGAUGACACCAUCUUCUUUGGACAUCGUGGGAUACUGUCAGUCAAAUUGUUCGAAAUCAAUGUGGUCAACUCAACUUCAACAUUCUUCUUCACAAAUAUUUUGAAGGAUUAAUGGCUUGGUGAGGUUCAGCUUUUUCAUGGCAGUCAAAUGUCCACAUGGAAUUGUUGCAGCUGUGAAGGUCGUAGUGAGCUGUUGCGUGAUGACCAUGUGCUGGUGUGGGAAGUGCUGCAUGCUGUCUGGUGUUGGUUUGAAUUUUUUUUCAUUGCCUUAACUACUAAGUGGUUGAAUCAUUCAUUCUAUAAUUGUUGGCUGAAGGUUUCCAUCGUCAGUUAGAUGUAGAGCUAAUUAUGUUGUUGCUCUUUGGUGUGCAGUUCAUGUUCAGGUGCUUUUGUUGCAGCCAGCUGGUGAAAGAGGUUAAAGGUGUGUAGAGCUGUAGCUUAUUGUAGCAGUCAACAAGGUGUUAUUCUGAAGUGCAAUAUCAAUUAAGACAUUCUGAAAUGAUUUGGUGACAAUGUGAUAAACAAUAUGCUGAAUGGAGUCUGCUGUUUUUGUUAUCAAGGAGUGGAGAAGUAAGACUUGAAGCAAGGCUUCAAGAAAAUGAAAUGGUCUCGGCGUAAAUGUACAGUCGCUUUGCAGUCUCAAUCCUGUUCAAGCUGUUGCUAUCCUGAAUUAUGCUGGAGUUUUGGAAUUAGCUGAUCCUGAAGUUGGGUUGCUGGUGUUAUCCUGAAGAAGCUGAUGUUGAUGUUAUUGAGUAAGUGUGCCAGUUCAGUUCUGGUUGUUUAAAAUUAUAUCCAUGUUGUAGAUUUGUUAUCAACUAAGACAUGUUGCAACCUGUUGUUAAUUUAAACAGCGCGUCUUCCUGAAAUAUCCUCACCCAUACGUUUUUAAAUAAUUCUUAAGUAAUGGGAUGUCAAAACUUGCAAUAUUUUCCUUGUGCAUUGUUAAAUCUGAUAUUUUUCAUGAGUAUGUGAAAUUUUGAAACAAAUAAAAUUUAAACCAAU
This is a long non-coding RNA of Daphnia pulicaria, 1892 nucleotides long. RefSeq lists it as uncharacterized. The transcript has 8 exons. The record is from RefSeq and is a predicted model, not a curated record. Lineage: Eukaryota; Metazoa; Arthropoda; Branchiopoda; Diplostraca; Daphniidae.